This 427-nucleotide ribosomal RNA is filed under the name uncultured bacterium. RNAcentral's name for it is "partial 16S ribosomal RNA". It matches the Rfam family "Bacterial small subunit ribosomal RNA", at positions 354 to 796 of the family's 1533-position model. The record is from RNAcentral.
GUGGGGAAUAUUGGGCAAUGGGGGAAACCCUGACCCAGCAACGCCGCGUGAAGGAAGAAGGCUUUCGGGUUGUAAACUUCUUUUAUGAGGGACGAAGAAGUGACGGUACCUCAUGAAUAAGCCACGGCUAACUACGUGCCAGCAGCCGCGGUAAUACGUAGGUGGCAAGCGUUGUCCGGAUUUACUGGGGGUAAAGGGCGCGUAGGCGGGAUAGCAAGUCAGGUGUGAAAUCCGGGGGCUUAACCCUCGAACUGCACUUGAAACUGUUAUUCUUGAGUGAUGGAGAGGCAAGCGGAAUUCCUAGUGUAGCGGUGAAAUGCGUAGAUAUUAGGAGGAACACCAGUGGCGAAGGCGGCUUGCUGGACAUUAACUGACGCUGAGGCGCGAAAGCGUGGGGAGCAAACAGGAUUAGAUACCCCUGUAGUCC